Molecule: ribosomal RNA, 253 nt
Filed under: uncultured bacterium
Lineage: Bacteria
Description: partial 16S ribosomal RNA
Rfam family: Bacterial small subunit ribosomal RNA
Source: RNAcentral
UACGGGGGGGGCAAGCGUUGUUCGGAAUUACUGGGCGUAAAGGGCUCGUAGGUGGCCAACUAAGUCAGACGUGAAAUCCCUCAGCUUAACUGGGGAACUGCGUCUGAUACUGGAUGGCUUGAGUUUGGGAGAGGGACGCGGAAUUCCAGGUGUAGCGGUGAAAUGCGCAGAUAUCAGGAGGAACACCGGUGGCGAAGGCGGUUCUCUGGGCCUUACCUGACACUGAGGAGCGAAAGCGUGGGGAGCAAACAGG